GGGGGGGGCAAGCGUUGUUCGGAAUUACUGGGCGUAAAGGGCUCGUAGGCGGCCAACUAAGUCCGACGUGAAAUCCCCAGGCUCAACCUGGGAACUGCGUCGGAUACUGGAUGGCUUGAAUCCGGGAGAGGGAUGCAGAAUUCCAGGUGUAGCGGUGAAAUGCGUAGAUAUCUGGAGGAAUACCGGUGGCGAAGGCGGCAUCCUGGACCGGCAUUGACGCUGAGGAGCGAAAGCCAGGGGAGCAAACGGGAUUAGAUACCCCGGUAGUCCUGGCCCUAAACGAUGAAUGCUUGGUGUGACGGGUAUCGAUCCCUGUCGUGCCGAAGCUAACGCAUUAAGCAUUCCGCCUGGGGAGUACGGUCGCAAGGCUGAA
This 373-nucleotide ribosomal RNA is filed under the name uncultured bacterium. Its description in RNAcentral is "bacterial SSU rRNA". It matches the Rfam family "Bacterial small subunit ribosomal RNA", at positions 527 to 898 of the family's 1533-position model. The record is from RNAcentral.